This 1243-nucleotide ribosomal RNA is filed under the name metagenome. RNAcentral describes it as "bacterial LSU rRNA". It matches the Rfam family "Bacterial large subunit ribosomal RNA", at positions 1564 to 2815 of the family's 2925-position model. The record is from RNAcentral.
UGAGUACGAGAUGCUACGGCAUUGAAGCAGUCUAUGUCAUACUUCCAAGAAAAGCUUGCACUGUCAUAAACAAAUAAUGCCUGUACCAUAACCGACACAGGUGGGUAGGUAGAGUAUACUAAGGGGCGCGAGAUAACUCUCUCUAAGGAACUCGGCAAAAUGACUCCGUAACUUCGGGAGAAGGAGUGCCUUAUUUUUAUAAGGUUGCAAUAACAAGAUCCAAGCAACUGUUUACCAAAAACACAGGUCUCCGCUAAGUCGUAAGACGAUGUAUGGGGGCUGACGCCUGCCCAGUGCCAGAAGGUUAAAGAAGUUGGUUAGCAUUAGCGAAGCUGAUAACUGAAGCCCUGGUGAACGGCGGCCGUAACCAUAACGGUCCUAAGGUAGCGAAAUUCCUUGUCGGGUAAGUUCCGACCCGCACGAAAGGCGUAAUGAUUUGGAUACUGUCUCGGAGAGGGGCUCGGUGAAAUAGACUUGUCUGUGAAGAUGCGGACUACCUGCACCUGGACAGAAAGACCCUAUGAAGCUUUACUGUAACUUGAGAUUGAAAUUGGACUUUAUCUGCGCAGUAUAGGUGGGAGACGUUGAAAAUAUUCUUGUGGGAAUAUUCGAGUCAUCAGUGAGAUACCACUCUUAUAAUGUUAGAUUUCUAACUUUGUAUCAUUAUCUGGUCAAAGAACAGUUUCAGGCGGGCAGUUUGACUGGGGCGGUCGCCUCCCAAACGGUAACGGAGGCGCACAAAGGUUUCCUCUGAACGUGUAGAAAUCGUAUCUAGAGUGUAAAGGCAUAAGGAAGCUUGACUGUGAGACCUACAAGUCGAGCAGGGACGAAAGACGGUCUUAGUGAUCUGACGGUGCUGAGUGGAAAGGCCGUCACUCAACGGAUAAAAGUUACUCUAGGAUAACAGGCUGAUCUCCCCCAAGAGUUCACAUCGACGGGGAGGUUUGGCACCUCGAUGUCGGCUCAUCGCAUCCUGGGGCGGUAGUACGUCCCAAGGGCUGGGCUGUUCGCCCAUGAAAGCGGUACGCGAGCUGGGUUCAGAACGUCGUGAGACAGUUCGGUCCAUAUCCGGUGUAGGCGUUAGAAUAUUGAGAGGAGCCUUCUUUAGUACGAGAGGACCGAGAAGGACAUACCUAUGGUGUACCAGUUAUCGUGCCAACGGUAAACGCUGGGUAGCUAUGUAUGGAGAGGAUAACCGCUGAAAGCAUCUAAGUGGGAAGCCCACCUCAAGAUAAGUAUUCCC